This 558-nucleotide long non-coding RNA is filed under the name Ananas comosus (pineapple). RNAcentral describes it as "long non-coding RNA (ACOM_LNC000382)". The record is from RNAcentral. Lineage: Eukaryota; Viridiplantae; Streptophyta; Magnoliopsida; Poales; Bromeliaceae.
AGAAAGCAAGAGGAGAAAGAGAGAAAAAAAAACGGCGAUAUGGACGAAGAUUAAUCGGGAGAGAAAAAAAGAGAGAAAAAAUAAAAAAUUUUGAUCAUUAUGCUAAAAAUUCAAACUGAAUUUAUAAAAUCUAAAAAAAUGACCUAUUUUUACAAAAACACAAAACUGGUGAAUUUUUUAUGCAAAAAGGGCUAUCAAUUUUUUAUUUUGAAAAAACUUCAAAUAUCACCUAUAUGAUUUCGCACUUUUUUAUUUUAGUACCAUAUGAUUUAAUGUGUAUAAAUUUAGUAUCUUGUGGUUUUAUUUUUUUCUUUUUAUUAUCCUCCACUAAUUUUUUUUCGUUAAAUUCGUGACAAAGUUAAAGCUAAAAGGUAUUAAAGUGAAUAUUUGAUAAACUUGGGUGGGGUAUCUGAAGUUUUUUGUAUAUAAUUUAACGAAAUGUUAACAAUGAGCCGAUGAAAAGAGAAAAAUAAAAUCACAUGAUACUAAGUUGAGAAAAUGUGAAACCAUAGGGGCGCUAUUUAAGUUUACCCUUAAUAAUAAUAGUAGAGAGAGAGA